CUACGUGCCAGCAGCCGCGGUAAUACGGGGGGUGCGAGCGUUAAUCGGAAUAACUGGGCGUAAAGGGCACGCAGGCGGUGACUUAAGUGAGAUGUGAAAGCCCCGAGCUUAACUUGGGAAUUGCAUUUCAUACUGGGUCGCUAGAGUACUUUAGGGAGGGGUAGAAUUCCACGUGUAGCGGUGAAAUGCGUAGAGAUGUGGAGGAAUACCGAAGGCGAAGGCAGCCCCUUGGGAAUGUACUGACGCUCAUGUGCGAAAGCGUGGGGAGCAAACAGGAUUAGAUACCCUGGUAGUCCACGCUGUAAACGAUGUCGAUUUGGGGAUUGGGCUUUGAGCUUGGUGCCCGUAGCUAACGUGAUAAAUCGACCGCCUGGGGAGUACGGCCGCAAGGUUAAAACUCAAAUGAAUUGACGGGGGCCCGCACAAGCGGUGGAGCAUGUGGUUUAAUUCGAUGCAACGCGAAGAACCUUACCUACUCUUGACAUCCAUGGAAUCUUGUAGAGAUAUGA
RNAcentral lists this ribosomal RNA (509 nucleotides) under uncultured bacterium. Its description in RNAcentral is "bacterial SSU rRNA". It matches the Rfam family "Bacterial small subunit ribosomal RNA", at positions 501 to 1011 of the family's 1533-position model. The record is from RNAcentral.